GACGAACGCUGGCGGCGUGCUUAACACAUGCGAGUCGAACGCUGAAGCUUGGUGCUUGCACUGGGUGGAUGAGUGGCGAACGGGUGAGUAAUACGUGAGUAACCUGCCCUUGACUCUGGGAUAAGCCUGGGAAACUGGGUCUAAUACUGGAUACGACAUGCCACUGCAUGGUGGUGUGUGGAAAGGGUUUUACUGGUUUUGGAUGGGCUCACGGCCUAUCAGCUUGUUGGUGGGGUAAUGGCCUACCAAGGCGACGACGGGUAGCCGGCCUGAGAGGGUGACCGGCCACACUGGGACUGAGACACGGCCCAGACUCCUACGGGAGGCAGCAGUGGGGAAUAUUGCACAAUGGGCGGAAGCCUGAUGCAGCGACGCCGCGUGAGGGAUGACGGCCUUCGGGUUGUAAACCUCUUUCAGCACGGAAGAAGCGAGAGUGACGGUACGUGCAGAAGAAGCGCCGGCUAACUACGUG
This 472-nucleotide ribosomal RNA is filed under the name uncultured bacterium. Its description in RNAcentral is "partial 16S ribosomal RNA". It matches the Rfam family "Bacterial small subunit ribosomal RNA", at positions 28 to 507 of the family's 1533-position model. The record is from RNAcentral.